RNAcentral lists this ribosomal RNA (557 nucleotides) under uncultured fungus. Its description in RNAcentral is "eukaryotic LSU rRNA". The stretch from base 200 to 353 matches the Rfam family "5.8S ribosomal RNA". Lineage: Eukaryota; Fungi. The record is from RNAcentral.
GGUCUCCGUAGGUGAACCUGCGGAGGGAUCAUUACACAAAUAUGAAGGCGGGCUGGAACCUCUCGGGGUUACAGCCUUGCUGAAUUAUUCACCCUUGUCUUUUGCGUACUUCUUGUUUCCUUGGUGGGUUCGCCCACCACUAGGACAAACAUAAACCUUUUGUAAUUGCAAUCAGCGUCAGUAACAAAUUAAUAAUUACAACUUUCAACAACGGAUCUCUUGGUUCUGGCAUCGAUGAAGAACGCAGCGAAAUGCGAUAAGUAGUGUGAAUUGCAGAAUUCGGUGAAUCAUCGAAUCUUUGAACGCACAUUGCGCCCUUUGGUAUUCCAAAGGGCAUGCCUGUUCGAGCGUCAUUUGUACCCUCAAGCUUUGCUUGGUGUUGGGCGUCUUGUCUCUAGCUUUGCUGGAGACUCGCCUUAAAGUAAUUGGCAGCCGGCCUACUGGUUUCGGAGCGCAGCACAAGUCGCACUCUCUAUCAGCAAAGGUCUAGCAUCCAUUAAGCCUUUUUUUCAACUUUUGACCUCGGAUCAGGUAGGGAUACCCGCUGAACUUAAGCA